CCGAAUUGGGAACCAGCUGUUUCACGUAGAUGUAAUACACUGGGCGAACUCGGAUGACAUUUGCUUUCCCACAGUGUCUAACCGUGUAAUCUAUGUGUCCUGGAAACAUUCGGGUAGACGCGUUAUAAAUCAACAGCAGGAGUCGCGAUGAAACUUUGAACGGUAUGAAUUUCGCAUAAAGCGACAUCAGAGAAUCGUAUGUGAAUGUACACAGAUAGACGUCUGGUAAUAUGUAUCUUUUAUAUAGGUAUGUAUCUUUUAUAUAUUAACAUAUAUAUAACCUCUAAAUAAACCGUCAGUUUACCGUUAGGAGACUUUCCUAUAGCAUUUUCAAUUGACUGGAUUUACUCCAUCGGCUGUAAAGUGUAAUACCGUGCUUGUUGAAAUAUAUGUAUUCCAGUCUAAAGGAAGAUAACGAUUUAGCUUAGCGUGUUUUUCUAAUUGAAAUACAUUUAAACUAAGUUUCGCAGCGUAACGACAAGCCUCAUUGUACAUACAGCGUAUAACCAACAAACCAGGAGCGCAUGGAAUCAAACAGCAAAUGUAGAAGGGAAUACCAAGGGAAUACAAGGUAGAGAUUAGGAGGGGAAUGAUUUUCAGUGAAAGGAGGGUAAUAUCAUUACGCAAGGCUCACUCUACAAAGAGCAGCACGUAUCGAUGUGUCACUUCGUAAAUGCCUUCGGAUAUCCUUGGGUGCUUUUAAAGGAUCAAUUUACAGUCUUGUGAAAAUUGGGAGAUGAAAGUUAGGUUAGGUCGGACUGAUUUAUUCAUAAAUUUUCGUGGCGAGCACAGUGCGGAAUGAAGUAUCGUCCGUUAAGAAUCCUCUUUGCCAAGCUUGCGACUGUCGCUGGUAAAUGUUUUCACGGACUCUUCCGGUCACAUUUUCAUUUUUUUUUAUUUACCCCUAGUAAACGCGACUCUCUGGCUGGUCGGAAGUGGUGGCCCUCUUGUCACUAGGGCGAAACGGAAUGGCCUCAUUCUGCAAGACACGAUAUUGCUGCGUGUUACCAAAGCAACGAGGACCCUCAGCGCUACGGAUAUGACAUUCAAUGAAAAAUACUCAUGACGUAUUACACUGCACUUGGAUAUCCAUUAAUUUAUUGCUGCAAAACAGGAGGGAAACGCUUUCGCAUCGUCAUGGAUGACGUGUAUUAUAUAAAACAUGAAUAACAUAUGAAAUGGAAACGAGUACAAUUAACGCGUUGGCGAAGCUGUCAUCGUCAACUAGUAUCCAGAAGAAACGAUUAUCGGAAGAGGAUAAAUGGCGUGUACCGAAGGAAGCAAGGCAAUAAGUUUGAACCAGAACGCAAUUAAUUUUCUCGUAAAAUCAGAGAAAUAAAGCAAGAGUAUUUCCUUUGAGCGUAGCGUCGCGAGGAGUUAAUAAAGUAAAAAUGGAGAGGAGUAAGGGAAGAGGAAAGAAAUGAGUAAAAUUAAAUAAGAAGAUUGACGAAGGUUAUAAAUCCCGUGUACCAAGGUAAAACACGUAUGGGUAAUCACUUUUGGUAUCCAGAGAGUGACUUUCUGUGUAACCCCAACGAUAUAGAUAAGAUAGCCACGAUAAUUCAAAAGUAACCCAGGUUCACCAUCAGUCAGUCCUGAAGGAUAGACAAGCCAAGGGUACUUGGAUGCUUUGGACACUCGCACGAAAUAUGCUUAGGCGUUGAGGAAACCUGGCCAAGGAUUCUCGGAGAGUUGGAUGACUUCAGUUUACCCAUGCUGUGUGUGUACAGUGACAGCCUACUACUGACAACUCUCUUAGUACUAAUUGCUAAGUACAGUUACUGGAACAGCAAGUAAAGGCUUGUCCGACUUGUUCCGCCAUUUGCAGAACGUGUUUCCAGGUACUUCUGUCUAUGCUCAUGAAGUGGAGGCACAAGCUCAGUGACCUGAUUUCUUUCUGGAUCUUGUGCCUUGACGUUGAACCGUACGACCUGCGGAUGUAAAAAUUGGACAAAGUGAAUCCUGAAGAUGAUGAUACGAUGUCGUGUCCUUGCAUCCUUCACUCUCCGGGAAAUGCGAGAAUAGAACUGCGUUACCAGGAGCUAUAGCAACAGCAGGAAAGAAUGAGUUUCCCACGGUCAUUAAGGAAGAUGAACAAAGCCUCAAUGAGAGGCUGCAAGCACGAAGACUCUUAUGUCGAAGAAUUGUGGUUCUUCGUUCGUUGGUCCAGGGAAGUGCAUCCGUGUAGUAGCUGUCAUUAAGGAGCUGCAAUCAAGGCGGUACCUCCUCAGGGUGAUGCCCUCGUUGAAUUUCUGGAGUGGAAAAGAGUUUUAGCUAAACGAAGUUUUGCACUGCCGGAUGAAGAUGAGAAGAGAUUAGAGGAUGAUUCGAUAACACAUCAGUGGGCCAAAGGGGUGACUUUUGAAAAUCGCAGAACCGUGCUCCCAGCCUGGAGCCAUUAGACUUAAUCACAGACUGCGUGCAUUCUAGUAAAGGAGUGCAUUCCAGAAUUCUUUAAUAGAUUUUGCCGCUACUGAAAAUUCAAUGUUUUAGAUUGGAGCUUUCUGACUUAACGAAGCGAAAUAGAGUGAACGGUGCCAUUCUGAAUGACAUUUCUAGUAAUUUUAAAACACGCUAGUAGAGAGAAAUUCUAGUCAUCCAUUUUCAAUCCUCUACCCAGAAAUCAGUAAUAGGAACAUUUACAGACCUAUCAAUAGUUGAACUAAGAAUUGGAAGUGAUAACAAAUAUUUUUUCAUAACACACAGAGAUUCGUGAACAGGUUACAAUUUCGUGUCAGAUUGUAAAGUCUGUCCAGUAAAAUGACUUCCCAAAAAAAAAAAAAAAAA
Molecule: long non-coding RNA, 2787 nt
Organism: Cephus cinctus (wheat stem sawfly)
Lineage: Eukaryota; Metazoa; Arthropoda; Insecta; Hymenoptera; Cephidae
Exons: 7
Source: RefSeq, a predicted model, not a curated record